This 373-nucleotide long non-coding RNA is filed under the name Homo sapiens (human). RNAcentral describes it as "HSALNT0386131". Lineage: Eukaryota; Metazoa; Chordata; Mammalia; Primates; Hominidae. The record is from RNAcentral.
CACUGCAACCUCCGCCUCCCGGGUUCAAGCGAUUCUCCUGCCUCAGCCUCCCAAGCAGCUGGGAUUACAGGCAUGUGCCACCAUGCCCAGCUAAUUUUGUAUUUUUAGUAGAGAUGGGGUUUCUCCAUGUUGGUCAGGCUGGUCUCGAACUCCCGACCUCAGGUGAUCCGCCCGCCUUAGCCUCCCAAAGUGCUGGGAUUACAGGCAUAAGCCACCACACCUGGCCUGUUUGCUUAAGUUUUAUAUAUACAAAUGUUCUUAGGAAAGCACUAUUGGGAAGAAAACUAGUUACUGAUACAAAUUCCCUGUUUAAUAUUCAAGGCAUUACACAGUAGAUUAAUCAGGCAAUUGAAUUAGAAAUUUUACACAGUAG